RNAcentral lists this long non-coding RNA (4290 nucleotides) under Marmota monax (woodchuck). Lineage: Eukaryota; Metazoa; Chordata; Mammalia; Rodentia; Sciuridae. The record is from RNAcentral.
UCCCUGUCCAGCCUCCUGCCCUCCAGUCCCCUCGGGCCCAGCCCCUGGCCCCCUGCAGUGGCACCUGGCCAGUAGCUCCUUGGUCUGGUCAGUGAGGAUGGCACUGUCUGCUCUCACCAUGCAGGAGAGAGCGGAGAUGACACCUGCCUUCAGGAGCCUCUUCACCCGCAUGUCCACAAAGUCCUUCUUGUCCUGGGGGAUGGGAGAGUUGGCAAUGGAGAAGGGGCCUGGGCACCAGGCAGAUCUGUACUGGAACUUCAGAUGGUACGUUUCUGACUUCUUAGGGUAGGCUCACUAAUGGCCCUCCCAGAUGACCACAGCCCAAUCCCUAGAACCUGAGAAUGUGUAACCUCACAUGUCAAAAGGGACUUUGCCAAGAUGAUCAAGUGAACUGGGGAAGGGGAGAUAAUCCUGGAUAAUGUAGGUAGGCCCCAAAUAAUCAUGAUGCAACCACAGCACAGUAAGCUCAGGGUUAAUACUAGGAGGUGUGAAAACAGAAAGGUUAAAAUGAUUCAAGGUCCCAACCAAAGAAUGUAGGUGGCCUCUAGAAGUUGAAAAAGUCAAGGAAUAAGAUUCUCCCCUAGAGACUCCAGAAGGAGCCAACCCUGCAGACCCCUGGACUUCAGCCCAGGGGGACAGAUGCUCUGACUUCCGGCCUCCAGAGCUGUAAGAUAACAAAUGUGGUUUUCAGGCCACUGUGUUUGCGGCGAGGUGUUAGAGAAGCAAAAGGAAGUAAGGCACUUCUCUAGGUUCCCUUGCCGAAACAACGACCAUCAGGUAAGAACUUCUUCUCUGCUCUGCCCAACCUGCUCCCAGCACAGAGCCUGCCGAGCUGGGGUGCUCUGGAGUGAUAUUGGCCAAAUUAUAUUACUAUAUUGCAUGCACGUAUGAGUCUUUAACAACAUGUCCCACCAUUGUGUAUAACUAUACUGCACCAGUGAAAAUAUGGGGAAAAGAUAAGGAUUUCCAGGAAAUUUCAGUUUGAUCCUAACCACAAUCCUGGGGAUGGGACAGCUGUUAAAUCCAACAGGUGUCAGAUUUCAUCCUGAACUGCUGUUAUGGGGUGUCAAUCAGCCUACCCUUUAAGAUGAGAUGCUGGCCACAGGUUUUUGUGUGAUGAAGUCCAAGGAGGCACUAAAAGGAUCACCAGUGCUGGGCUUAUUACCCAGUGGCAGCCUUCCGGGGCAGGCUACGUGGCUCUCUGUAAAUUAAGUGUCCUGGUAGAUGUGGGAAGGGAUGGCAGUCAUGCUAAAUGAGAGCUGGAAAACCUCGAGGUGAUGACCCAACAGAGAGCUGCUCCUUGGCACUGCAUUUCCCUUCUCUCUUUUGGUAGCAAUUAUAAACAUUUUAUUUUUUCUAGGUGCAAAAUAAACUUCUUAGUGUAUUCUGAGGAGCAAGGACAGGUAUUUAGAAAGCCAGCCAAUGAGCACCUUUGCACACGAUACCUAUGUCCUAAACCCCAGGGUCUGUAAAUGUCACCCUAAUUGGAAAAGGAUCUUUGGAGAUCUGACUGAGGAUCUGGCAAUGGGAGAUUAUCCUGGGUUGUUGAGGAGAAGACCCUAAAUGCAAUCACAUGUAUCCUUAGAAAAGAAGGAUCAGAGACAGACUUAACACAAAAAGAGGGUAAUGCGAGGAGUGGGGGCAGAGAUUGAAGUUUGGAAGCCACCAGAAGCUGGAGGAGCCAGGAAAAGAAUCUCCUGAGAGCCUCUGCAAUAACAUUUGCAUUUCAGCCUUCUGGCCCCAGAACUGUGAAAGAAUAAAUUUCUUUUGUUUUAGCCAUCCUGUUGCAGAUAGCUUAGGGCAGCACAACAGCCACAGUAAAUGAAUAGUUUAAAUAUCAUGUGUAAGUUUAAUGAAAGGUUAUGGGUUUUAGAAUCCAAAACAGCUGAGCAAUGCACCAAAGUCUGCUACUCUUCAAACUCUGGGGUUCUGGACAAGUUAGCUUCUCUAAGCCUCAGUUUCCUUGUCUGGAAAGGGAGGAUUAUAGUUCCUUACUUUGCAGAGGUCAUACUGCAGGCAUUUAAUAAGAAAAUGUUUGUGCCAGUGCCAGGUGUGGCUGGCAUGUGGUGGUUCUUCUUGUGUCAGUAUGGAGUGGCUUUGGACUAGUGUAGAAGAGGGUGCAUUUCUGUAUUCAUCCAUAGGUUUUGACUUCAGCAUCUAUCUUGUCAGGGAAAUGGGGCAGGAUUCACAGUUCUUCCUGCUCACAACCCUCUGAGUUUUGUUAUGUUUUUUAAACCAUGAAUAAUUUUCGCUUUGGAGGGGAAGAAGGUGGUGUGAACUUCGUUUCCUUCUUCACCUGUCUCAAAAUAGACCUCGGUCUGGAGGGGGGGGGCAUUGCUCAGAGACACAGCCAGCUCUGCUUGUGGGUGCUGGGGACCCUGACUAGACUGGGGGCAGCAGGGUGCAUGUAGCAGGACAUCUUGGGACCUCAUCCUUCCUCUGCUGCAGGACUUCAUGUCAGGAAGGGUGCCCACCCAGAACCUUCUCCAACUAUCAGAAGCAGGAUUAGCUGCUUGCUAAAUUUCCUUCCAGGAUUCUUAGAAGAAAUGGUGAAAACUUUACUAAUUCUACCCAAAGUGGGCUCCAGAUCCUAUCAUCAGCUGCAGAAAUUACCCGUGAGAGUGGCUUUCUGGAAGGGCAUUCACCUGUGCGUUCCUCAAGGUUUAGGAAUCAACCUCCUGCCUGGGUCUCACCUCCUACUAUCAUAAACUCCUGCUUCUGGCCUUUUCCUCUACUGCCCCCUUCUGCCUAACAGGAAAACUCCUAAAUCCAAGCUUGGAUUGCAAGCAGGGGAGGCCCUUUGCAGUUCUAAUAUCUUCUUUCUGCAACACCAUUGACCACACUCAGGUACACAUUUAUUGAGCAGUUAUUAUAUCCCAAGCAUUGUGUGGCGGACUCCAGACUCAACAAGGAGUGGAUCAUGCCCGCUUGCCUUGCACAGGCUGUUCCUCUCUCUGGGGUGGCCUGCCUCUGUUCUCCUAUUUAUCUUCAGUUGCCACCUCCUCCAGGAAGUCCUCCCUGAGUCAGUUGCCCUCACUGCUCUCCUCCCCUUCUACAGUGUUUUCAUGAUAUAUGGUGAUGCCCUGUCCAUCCACUGUCCCUGGCCUGGUCAGGACACCAGGCCCACUUCUUAAAGCUGAAGGGAUCAUUUCAAGAUCAGGAAAAGGGAUGCAGGGUGAAGAAUCAAGGGUGAAGGCAUGCUUUCAGAGAAGCAGGAGUGAGAAUGUGGAUGGGAGCAACUGGCAGGAGCCGGAGAACUGAGGACAGUGGGUCACAGUUAGGUGUGCACACCUCCCCAUAUGUCCACAACCCUGCAUGCUUUAUGUUCUCUAAGGCAAGGACCCUCCCCAUCAACCCAGAGAGACUAUCACCUGGGAACAGAAAUACUAAAGUGACAAGGUUUCUGGUGACCAGCGCUUUGGGUGAGGGAGUUGCCUGAACCUCUCGAACCCAGUAAUGCUAAUAAUCCCCUAAGGAGGGAAAAACAAACCCAGCUCCCUAGAAUCUAAAUUGGGCAAAAAGCCUUCUUUUGACAAAAGGAAACAGAUAAAGCUGUCCAGGAGAUGACUGAUAGUUAAUUCAGUACCUCAAAAAUUCUGCUAUCAUGAAUACCUUUUAUAAGUACCUUUUAUAGCUGGGGCUGGGGCUCAUUGGCAGAGCGCUUGCCUCGAACAUGUGAGGCACUGGGUUCGAUUCUCAGCACCACAUAAAAAAUACAUAAACAAAAUAAAGAUAUUGUGUGUCCAGGUAUAACUAAAAAAUAUAUUUUAAAAAAGCAUCAUCAUCACCUCUUAAAAACAACCUACCUUUUGUUUUUCAAGUAUAAUGUUCAUUGUAAAAAUAUAGACAAAUGUUAAAAAGAAACAAAACAUGAAUGAUGUGAGAAAAAAAAAAAAAGAAUAGCAUUACCCUAGAUUAGGUAGAGAGAAGUGAUGGGAAGGGAGGGGAGGGAUUGGGGAGAUAGGAAGGAUAGUAGAAUGAAACAGACAUUAUUAUUAUUACUGUGUGUAUAUAUGUGAAUGCAUGACCAAUGUGAUUCUGCAACCUGUAUACUCAGAAAAAUGAGAUAUUAUAUCCCAUCUGAUUCAAAUGUAUGAUAUGUCAAGGUCAUUGUACUGUCAUGUGUAACUAAUUAAACAAACAAACAAACAAACAAAAAGAAACAAAACAAAGAUUAACCACUGUUAUUAACACUGGAUGCAUUUUCUUUUUAUAUUUUCCUAUAUAUGAACUACAUAAACUACAUAUGUGUGUGUGUUGUGUGUGUGUGUGUGUGUGUGUGUAUAUAUA